UUAUCUCUUCUUGCUUUCUAGCGUGGUGCCAUGGAAGGCCAGACCCUCAACGUGUUCUAUAACAGACUGGUCUUGAUACCCAAGCUGGCACAGUACUUUCAGUACGUCUUAAAUGCCGUUGGCUGUCUUCUCAUCAUCAUCACUCUCAUCCUCAUCAUCAAGAAUCAGGGAACAUUCUUUUUAUUUUGGAGUAGUAAUAAAAAGGUCUCAAAGAAUUCAGAGGCCAUUCAGUCCUAUUCAGAAUCCCUGAUGACCCCUGCUCCUAAUGGGACAGUGCUGCAGGAAGCCCGACUAUAGGUGGGUAACCAGAGGACACCCAGUGCUGCUCUCCACGAAGGGCUGGGCCCCCAGUCAGACCAGCUCCCCAGCUCCCAGACUCCCCUCCUCCAGGACGACCCCCAGGAUGGACAGCCUGCCAGCAGCAAGUCCUGAGUGACCUCCCAUACCUGGCUGUGGCAGCCGUGUGCCCGCGAUGUCACCUUUUUAUAUGUACAGCCAUGGACACACGUUUAGUGUGUGUGUGUGUGUGUGUGUGUGUGUGAGUGUGAGAGAGAGACAGAG
RNA transcript from Vombatus ursinus (common wombat), 561 nucleotides. It is a transcript of the gene named scavenger receptor class B member 1-like, with no coding region annotated. Lineage: Eukaryota; Metazoa; Chordata; Mammalia; Diprotodontia; Vombatidae. The transcript has 3 exons. The record is from RefSeq and is a predicted model, not a curated record.